RNAcentral lists this ribosomal RNA (319 nucleotides) under uncultured eukaryote. RNAcentral describes it as "partial 18S ribosomal RNA". It matches the Rfam family "Eukaryotic small subunit ribosomal RNA", at positions 1470 to 1796 of the family's 1831-position model. The record is from RNAcentral.
CCCUUAGAUGUUCUGGGCUGCACGCGUGCUACAAUGGCGUUUCCAGCAAGUCUGCGAACCCGAGAGGGCCAGCGGAUCUUCGAAUUGGCGUCGUGAUCGGGACAGUCGAUUGCAAUUAUUUGACUCAAACGAGGAAUUCCCUGUAAUCGCGAUUCAUCAUAUCGCGCUGAAUACGUCCCUGCCCUUUGUACACACCGCCCGUCGCUCCUACCGAUUGAGCGAUCCGGUAAAUGUUUUGGAUUGGUGCCGGGGCGGCUAGCUGCCGGUCGCUACGAAAUUUUGUGAACCUUAUCGCUUAGAGGAAGGAAAAGUCGUAACA